RNAcentral lists this long non-coding RNA (1324 nucleotides) under Mytilus galloprovincialis (Mediterranean mussel). Lineage: Eukaryota; Metazoa; Mollusca; Bivalvia; Mytilida; Mytilidae. The record is from RNAcentral.
CAAUUUUUGGUAAGUGCGUUUGUAUAGCUGUAUGAAAUUUGUGUCUUGAUAUUGUGUCAGUUUCGUUUCAAACGCAUCCCAUGCAAGAUUUAAAUUUUUCACCCAAACAAAAUUGUUAAUAGGAAUCUCUUCGUCUUUUGUUCAAAGUAUAGUGACAGUAAUACGAGUAGGUGUGCAGUUAAAUACUUAAAAGUGAACAGUUUUCUCAGCCCGAGUUUUCAACAACAAACCAUUGAACAAUAUUUUCGCCUUUGACACUACUAAUUUGAAGUAUUAUCUUAAAGGCAGUGGCUACGGUUACAUGGAAAUGUAACAAUAAUAAAAAUAUUAUUGUUACAUUGGAGACUAAAUGCCGGAAUGCAUGGUUGGGUAAGGACCGGUUAAAUUACGAAUGUAACAAUAAUUAUUGAGGCUACGGUUACAUUUCGUUAUUGUUACAUGAAAAAAAAGCAAUGUACGAUGGGACUAGUAAUAUGUACUAAAUAAUAAAAGUUGAGGACAUUUAUUACAUACAUUUAUAACACAAUUUAUUUACUGUAAUUUUUUAUUUACAAUGACAAUUUCUACAAAUCCAGUAAGUUGUUUUUAAAAGUCCGACACAUUUUUGAUGAACGAAAUUACGUCCUCCACGGAUACGUGUACAUACAGAAUUUCUUAGUAUUUAAGUUACAGUUAGCAAACUUUGCUUUUGAUUAUCAUUUGCGCCAAGUUUUAUAAAGCUGUAUGAAAUGUAUGUCUUGAUAUUGUUUCAGUUUCGUUUAAAACGCAUCCCAAGUUUUUAUUUUUUUUUUCACCAUAAACAAAAUUGGUCCAAAGUAUGAUGACAGUAAUAAGAGUAGGUGUGGAGUUAAAUACUUUAAAAAGUGAAACCAUCGAACUAUAUUUUUCGCCUUUGACAGUCCACACUCCUAAUCUUGAAGUAGUAUCUUUAAGAACAUCAAAAACCAUUAAUACGUAGUAAAACUAUUCAAGUUGUACACCAUUUGUUGAAUAAUAAUAUUUUAUUAUUUAUCAGUAUUAAAUUACAAGUAUUGUUUAGUACAUAUGCAAGAAUGAAGCAAUACAACUAUAGAAGAUUUAAGUUUAAUCAAUCUAGCGUUACGGUACAUUGCUGUUUUUCAUCUAACAAUAACGUAAUGUAACCGUAGCCUCAGUAAUUAUUGUUACAUUUGUAAUUAAUCGGUUCCUCACCCAACUUUGCAUUCCGGCAAUUAGUCUCCAAUGUAACAAUAAUAUUUUUAUUAUUGUUACAUUUCCAUGUAACCGUAGCCAGUGCCUAUCUUAAAAGAACAUCAAAUCCAUUAAUACCUAAAACUAUUUAAAC